CAUUGUGAGUCCCUUGCUUUACACUGUAGCCAUGUCUGAUAGAAAGUGUGUGGAGCUUGUCACAGGAUCAUGGAUAGGUGGAAUAGUUAACACAUUAAUCCACACAAUCAGCUUGAGGAGACUGUCCUUUUGUAGGCUAAAUGCUGUCAGCCACUUCUUCUGUGACAUUCCUUCACUGCUAAAGCUGUCAUGUUCUGACACCUCCAUGAAUGAGUUGUUGCUGUUAACCUUCUCCGGAGUCAUUGCCAUGGCCACCUUCUUGACUGUGAUCAUUUCCUACAUCUUCAUUGCUUUUGCUAGCCUAAGGAUCCACUCAGCAUCAGGCAGACAGCAAGCCUUCUCC
RNAcentral lists this long non-coding RNA (343 nucleotides) under Homo sapiens (human). RNAcentral's name for it is "long non-coding RNA NONHSAT021381". Lineage: Eukaryota; Metazoa; Chordata; Mammalia; Primates; Hominidae. The record is from RNAcentral.